Molecule: ribosomal RNA, 1093 nt
Filed under: Bacteroides sp. AM16-13
Lineage: Bacteria; Pseudomonadati; Bacteroidota; Bacteroidia; Bacteroidales; Bacteroidaceae
Description: bacterial SSU rRNA
Rfam family: Bacterial small subunit ribosomal RNA
Source: RNAcentral
CUUUUACAAUGAAGAGUUUGAUCCUGGCUCAGGAUGAACGCUAGCUACAGGCUUAACACAUGCAAGUCGAGGGGCAGCAUUUUAGUUUGCUUGCAAACUAAAGAUGGCGACCGGCGCACGGGUGAGUAACACGUAUCCAACCUGCCGAUAACUCGGGGAUAGCCUUUCGAAAGAAAGAUUAAUAUCCGAUAGUAUAUUAAAACCGCAUGGUUUUACUAUUAAAGAAUUUCGGUUAUCGAUGGGGAUGCGUUCCAUUAGUUUGUUGGCGGGGUAACGGCCCACCAAGACUACGAUGGAUAGGGGUUCUGAGAGGAAGGUCCCCCACAUUGGAACUGAGACACGGUCCAAACUCCUACGGGAGGCAGCAGUGAGGAAUAUUGGUCAAUGGACGAGAGUCUGAACCAGCCAAGUAGCGUGAAGGAUGACUGCCCUAUGGGUUGUAAACUUCUUUUAUAUGGGAAUAAAGUAUUCCACGUGUGGGAUUUUGUAUGUACCAUAUGAAUAAGGAUCGGCUAACUCCGUGCCAGCAGCCGCGGUAAUACGGAGGAUCCGAGCGUUAUCCGGAUUUAUUGGGUUUAAAGGGAGCGUAGGUGGAUUGUUAAGUCAGUUGUGAAAGUUUGCGGCUCAACCGUAAAAUUGCAGUUGAAACUGGCAGUCUUGAGUACAGUAGAGGUGGGCGGAAUUCGUGGUGUAGCGGUGAAAUGCUUAGAUAUCACGAAGAACUCCGAUUGCGAAGGCAGCUCACUAGACUGCAACUGACACUGAUGCUCGAAAGUGUGGGUAUCAAACAGGAUUAGAUACCCUGGUAGUCCACACAGUAAACGAUGAAUACUCGCUGUUUGCGAUAUACAGUAAGCGGCCAAGCGAAAGCAUUAAGUAUUCCACCUGGGGAGUACGCCGGCAACGGUGAAACUCAAAGGAAUUGACGGGGGCCCGCACAAGCGGAGGAACAUGUGGUUUAAUUCGAUGAUACGCGAGGAACCUUACCCGGGCUUAAAUUGCAAAUGAAUAAUCUGGAAACAGGUUAGCCGCAAGGCAUUUGUGAAGGUGCUGCAUGGUUGUCGUCAGCUCGUGCCGUGAGGUGUCGGCUUAA